UGGGGAAUUUUGGACAAUGGGGGCAACCCUGAUCCAGCAAUGCCGCGUGAGUGAAGAAGGCCUUCGGGUUGUAAAGCUCUUUUGUCAGGGAAGAAACGGUAGUAGCGAAUAACUAUUACUAAUGACGGUACCUGAAGAAUAAGCACCGGCUAACUACGUGCCAGCAGCCGCGGUAAUACGUAGGGUGCAAGCGUUAAUCGGAAUUACUGGGCGUAAAGCGUGCGCAGGCGGUUGUGUAAGUCAGAUGUGAAAUCCCCGGGCUCAACCUGGGAAUUGCAUUUGAGACUGCACGGCUAGAGUGUGUCAGAGGAGGGUAGAAUUCCACGUGUAGCAGUGAAAUGCGUAGAUAUGUGGAGGAAUACCGAUGGCGAAGGCAGCCCCCUGGGAUAACACUGACGCUCAUGCACGAAAGCGUGGGGAGCAAACAGGAUUAGAUACCCUCGUAGUCCCUGAGCGGGCUGGCAAGGCGCAU
RNAcentral lists this ribosomal RNA (472 nucleotides) under uncultured bacterium. RNAcentral describes it as "bacterial SSU rRNA". It matches the Rfam family "Bacterial small subunit ribosomal RNA", at positions 355 to 825 of the family's 1533-position model. The record is from RNAcentral.